GAUCCUGGCUCAGGAUGAACGCUGGCGGCGUGCUUAACACAUGCAAGUCGAGCGAAGCACUUUGAUUGGAUUCUUCGGAUGAAGAUAAUUGUGACUGAGCGGCGGACGGGUGAGUAACGCGUGGGCAACCUGCCUUACACAGGGGGAUAACAGUUAGAAAUGACUGCUAAUACCGCAUAAGACCGCGGAACCGCAUGGUUCUGAGGUAAAAACUCCGGUGGUGUAAGAUGGGCCCGCGUCUGAUUAGGUAGUUGGUGAGGUAACGGCUCACCAAGCCGACGAUCAGUAGCCGACCUGAGAGGGUGACCGGCCACAUUGGGACUGAGACACGGCCCAGACUCCUACGGGAGGCAGCAGUGGGGAAUAUUGCACAAUGUGGGAAACCCUGAUGCAGCGACGCCGCGUGAGCGAUGAAGUAUUUCGGUAUGUAAAGCUCUAUCAGCAGGGAAGAAAAUGACGGUACCUGACUAAGAAGCCCCGGCUAACUACGUG
Molecule: ribosomal RNA, 492 nt
Filed under: uncultured Dorea sp.
Lineage: Bacteria; Bacillati; Bacillota; Clostridia; Lachnospirales; Lachnospiraceae
Description: bacterial SSU rRNA
Rfam family: Bacterial small subunit ribosomal RNA
Source: RNAcentral